Molecule: transfer RNA, 62 nt
Filed under: Tropidothorax sinensis
Lineage: Eukaryota; Metazoa; Arthropoda; Insecta; Hemiptera; Lygaeidae
Description: tRNA-Tyr
Source: RNAcentral
GAUAAGGUGGCUGAAGUUUAGGCUAUAAAUUGUAAAUUUAUAUAUGGUUAUGACCCCUUAUU